ACGAGUUAAACAAAACUCCAAACCCUUUGUGAACCUUACCAAAGUUGCCUCGGCGUGAGCUGCGGUUACCCUGUAGUUACCCUGGAAGCGUCUACCCUGUAGGUGCUUACCCUGGAGCUACCCUGUAACCGGCUAACGGCCCGCCGAAGGACCACUAAACUCUGUUUUUACCCAAGUGUAUCUCUGAAUGCUUCAACUAAAUAAGUUA
RNAcentral lists this unclassified non-coding RNA (208 nucleotides) under uncultured Annulohypoxylon. RNAcentral describes it as "sequence contains ITS1". The record is from RNAcentral. Lineage: Eukaryota; Fungi; Ascomycota; Sordariomycetes; Xylariales.